RNAcentral lists this long non-coding RNA (1042 nucleotides) under Homo sapiens (human). Its description in RNAcentral is "BSG antisense RNA 1 (BSG-AS1)". Lineage: Eukaryota; Metazoa; Chordata; Mammalia; Primates; Hominidae. The record is from RNAcentral.
AGAGGAACAGAAGCUCCCUUCCUUUGUCCCGUGUGCUCUGGAGAUUGCAUCCCACGCAGGCAGCCCCCUUCCGUACAAGAGAGGCUGGCGGUUACCUUUCUUGGGGAGACGCGUCCGACUGCUUCAUUGUGGGGGCCUCAGGAGCGGAGGAUCGGGUCCCGCCCGAGGUGACGCGUAAACCCAGACUCUCAGCAACGCGGGUAGGAAGGACCCUUGAAGUUCCGCGGCGACCACGUCGGCUGAAACCAGCAGCCCAGGACAAGUGGACCAGCCAGCAAGACCCAGACCAUCCAAACCGGCUGAUCCUACGACAGGACCCAGAUGCCAGUGAAAGUGACCACAGCCCUGCUCUAGUCACCCCGGAAGCUGACCAGUCUACGCACGGCCGAAGCUUCGUCAAGGAAGUAAAUGUAGUUAGAAAUCUUAAGCCCAGUAAUUUUCCUUGUCAUCUUAAUUGUUUUACUAUUAACCUGUCGCUUUGCUCAACCCCCUCCUCUGGGCAAACAUCUCUUGUCCAUCCUAGGUACAAACAUGCUACUCUUCCCUUUGUUCUUGCUGCUCUCGCUAGAUCUAUGUCAGAAGGAGGGAUAUGCGGAGAGUUUAAUUUAACUAAUUGUUGCCUAAAAAUCGAUGACAAUGAGGAGGACGUCAUGAAUUAAUUGCGAGAAUGCGAGACUUAGCUCAUGUUCCAACACAAACCUGGAAACCGGAAUGGUCUCCAGGUUCCCCCCGCCCCCCCGUGGUUGGUUUUCAUCCCUCGGGGGAUUUAAAACCUUACUAGGAGUAGUUCUGGCCAUACUGGGAGUCCGCCUCGUACUCUUGUCUCUUCCCCUCCUUGUCAAGAAUAUCGACAAAGCCAGAGACGCUCGUGUGGACAGGCCGAGUACCACCGAGCUCAUCCCAUAACUACGUGUCCACCCCUGCCAGGAAAAGAGCUACUUCCCCCUGUAGAAGUAAAUAAAAAAUAGUGAUGCUUUCUAUUAAACCUUAUUUAUAAAAAGCAUCAAGGAGGGAAUAAAGCGGAAAUUGAAGAAACGGAAAA